GUUCCAGCCCAAUCUGGCUGUGACAUCUGUCACCCCAUUGAUGGCUAGAGUUGAUCGGCUGAUCUUGCUGGCUAGGCGGGUGUCCCCUUCCUCUCUCACUGCUUCAUGUGCGUCCUUCCCGAAGCUGCACGCUCCUUUGAAGAGGACGCCUUCCCCAAAUAAAGACAGACUGGUCUUCGGUCGAGGGUAGCUGUGCUUCCCUGCUAGAACCUCCAAAGAAGCUCACCUUAACCUUAACACUGUAGCACUGUUCAUCGGUUUGCUGGAGCGGGCACCAGUAACCACUAUUGUGAGACUCGCUGUUACUCACCAUUG
RNAcentral lists this small nuclear RNA (315 nucleotides) under Sorex araneus (European shrew). RNAcentral's name for it is "7SK RNA (ENSSARG00000018246.1)". It matches the Rfam family "7SK RNA". From Rfam's summary of the family: 7SK was discovered as an abundant small nuclear RNA in the mid-70s but a possible function has only recently been suggested. Lineage: Eukaryota; Metazoa; Chordata; Mammalia; Eulipotyphla; Soricidae. The record is from RNAcentral.